ACACCCCUACUAAUGUGUUCGGAUGAUAUUCUUUAUCGCUGUUAAGUGUAGCGUAACAUCCGAGUGGUCGAUUUGACCUUUAACGAGACCAGCCUCGAGACCGUGCGAGAUCUGCACCAGUUCCUGUAAGAUUUAGACAGGAAGUAGAUGUGUGUUUUGGGAUUUAUGCAUUUAAUGUCUCUACAGGAAUGCUAUUUCACAUCAGUAUUCUGAUGCUGUAUGCCAGUCGCCCAUCAUCAUGAUCAUACCCCUAAUAUAUUGAAAGAUAGUAGUGGUACAGAGAUUUGGAAAAUUUAUAAUCUACAGGAUGAUGUCAGGAUCACAAACAAGUGAUUUUGACAAAGAAGGUGUAAAACCGUUGUGGAUGUGGAUAUUGAAACUCCUUAAAACUCUUGAAGGAUGAGGAAAAGGAACCAUUGAAAUGGAACAUGUUGGACUCAAGGUUAUCACGAUCAUGCAUUUAUAAAAGAUGACAGCAUAUCAGCACUGCCUUAAGAUUGGAGUUGAGACCUUGUAUUUUUUACAUGGAAAAUAAAGAACAGUUGCCGAAUGAAACAGAUGCUCGCAGAAGCAAAUGUAAUGAGGCCAGAAUGAUGGUGAUCAUUUUUGAAUUAUUUCAUUCUCUGGUUGAAAUGAUACUGAUCCAAUUUGGUUGACAAUGAAUACUAAGUAUUUUGUUGUAUAUAAGUAUAAUGGCUUAUUUCAAAACUGUAUAAAGCUUGAUAUAUCAUGUAACGAUAUUAUGUAGGAAUCAAUAUUUUUUG
Long non-coding RNA from Saccostrea cuccullata (small rock oyster), 764 nucleotides. RefSeq lists it as uncharacterized. The transcript has 4 exons. NCBI's taxonomy places the organism in Eukaryota, Metazoa, Mollusca, Bivalvia, Ostreida, Ostreidae. The record is from RefSeq and is a predicted model, not a curated record.